UUAAUUGAAACCAAAAUAGAGGUAUAUUAUUGUUAAUAAUUUAAUUGAAAGUUUUCCAUUCCAAUUAAA
RNAcentral lists this transfer RNA (69 nucleotides) under Acropyga acutiventris. Its description in RNAcentral is "tRNA-Asn". Lineage: Eukaryota; Metazoa; Arthropoda; Insecta; Hymenoptera; Formicidae. The record is from RNAcentral.